This 253-nucleotide ribosomal RNA is filed under the name uncultured bacterium. RNAcentral's name for it is "partial 16S ribosomal RNA". It matches the Rfam family "Bacterial small subunit ribosomal RNA", at positions 524 to 776 of the family's 1533-position model. The record is from RNAcentral.
UACGUAGGGCGCAAGCGUUGUCCGGAAUUAUUGGGCGUAAAGGGUGCGUAGGCGGUUUGGUAAGUCUGAUGUGAAAUCUAUGGGCUCAACUCAUAGUCUGCAUCGGAAACUGCCGGGCUUGAGUGUGGGAGAGGUGAGUGGAAUUCCUGGUGUAGCGGUGAAAUGCGUAGAUAUCAGGAGGAACACCUGUGGCGAAAGCGGCUCACUGGACCAUAACUGACGCUGAUGCACGAAAGCUAGGGGAGCAAACAGG